CUUAGUGGAACUAAUGAUCUUUUUAGGGUAAAAGAAACUUGCUUAACACAUUUGAGGAGCAGAGUGGUACUGUAGUAGGUCCAAUUUCUAGUGUAAAUUUUGCCGUUUCUUAUAGACUUAGGGACCCGUGGUAGGAUAAUCUUUUCCAAACUGUUUUCUUAUCUGUGAAAGUAGGAACAAUUGUUACUGCCACUCUCUUAAAAAGCUAUCUGGAGAUUAAAUGCAUCAGUGUACAUAGUAGUUUUAUUGAAAUGUGAAGUACACACAUAUCAGUAUAAGUUAUUAUUAUUACUACUAGAAUUUUAGCUAUACGUUUAAGUGGUAACAGUGUCACAUGUUAUGGAUACAAUUCUCUUUGUAUAUAAUUGCAAAAAGUAUUUUUAAUGUUCUUUCUAUAUCUAAGCUUUUCAGCAUGUACCAAUGAUUUUCUUUUCUUAUUAUUUUUAAUUGACACAUACAUAUUUAUGGGGUACAGUGUGAUAUUUUCAUACCUUUAUACAGUGUGUAAUGAUCAAAUCAGUAAUUAGCAUAUCCAUCGCCUCAAACAUUUAUCCUUUCUUUGCAUUGGGAACAUUCAAAAUCCUCUCUUCUAGCUAUUUGAAAAUAUAGUAUAAAUUAUUGUUGGCCAUAAUCACCCUAGAGUACUAUACACCACUAGAACUUAUUCCUUCUAUUUAGUUGUAAUUUUGUAUUGGUUAAUCAAUCUCUUCCUAUUCCCCUCUUCCCUGCUACCCUUCCCAGCCUCUAGUAACCAGUAUUAUACUCUGUACUUCUGUGAGAUCAACUUAUUUAGCUUCCACAUAUGAGUGAAAACAUGAUGUAUUUAUCUUUCUGUGCCUGGCUUAUUUUACUUAACAUAAUUUCCUCCAGGCUCAUCCAUGUUGCUGAAAAUGACAGGAUUUCAUUUUUUUAAUGGCCAAAUAGUAUUCCAUUAUGUAUUGUGUGCCACAUUUUCUUUAUCCAUGCAUCUGUUGAUGAACGCUUAGGCCGGUUCCAUAUCUUGACUAUUGUGAAUAGUGCUGCAGUAAACAUGGGAAUGCAGAUACCUCUUUGACAUACUGAUUUCCUUUCCUUUGGGUUAUAUAUACCCAGCAAUGGGAUUAAUUCAUAUGGUAGUUCUGUUUUUAGUUUUUUUGAAUAACCUCCAUACUAUUUUCCAUAAUGGCUGUACUAAUUUACAUUUCCACCAAUAAUAUAUGAGAGUUUCAUUUUCUUCACAUUUUUGUCAUCCU
This 1232-nucleotide long non-coding RNA is filed under the name Homo sapiens (human). Its description in RNAcentral is "HSALNT0329085". The record is from RNAcentral. Lineage: Eukaryota; Metazoa; Chordata; Mammalia; Primates; Hominidae.